RNAcentral lists this ribosomal RNA (253 nucleotides) under uncultured bacterium. RNAcentral's name for it is "partial 16S ribosomal RNA". It matches the Rfam family "Bacterial small subunit ribosomal RNA", at positions 524 to 776 of the family's 1533-position model. The record is from RNAcentral.
UACAGAGGGCGCGAGCGUUGUCCGGAAUCACUGGGCGUAAAGGGCGCGUAGGUGGCGGCAUAAGGCCGUGGUGAAAGUCUGGGGCUCAACCCCAGAUCGGCCAUGGCGACUGUGUCGCUAGGGUACUGUAGAGGCAGGUGGAAUUCCGGGUGUAGCGGUGGAAUGCGUAGAGAUCGGGAAGAACAUCAGUGGCGAAGGCGGUCUGCUGGGCCGUUGCUGACGCUGAGGCGCGACAGCGUGGGGAGCAAACAGG